This 253-nucleotide ribosomal RNA is filed under the name uncultured bacterium. Its description in RNAcentral is "partial 16S ribosomal RNA". It matches the Rfam family "Bacterial small subunit ribosomal RNA", at positions 524 to 776 of the family's 1533-position model. The record is from RNAcentral.
UACAGAGGGGGCAAGCGUUAUUCGGAAUUAUUGGGCGUAAAGGGCGCGUAGGCGGCUUGGCAAGUGGAAGGUGAAAUCCCUCGGCUUAACCGAGGAACUGCCUUCCAGACUGCUUUGCUUGAGGCCGGGAGAGGCGAGUGGAAUUCCCAGUGUAGCGGUGAAAUGCGUAGAUAUUGGGAGGAACACCAGUGGCGAAGGCGGCUCGCUGGACGAUUGUUGACGCUGAGGUGCGAAAGCGUGGGGAGCAAACAGG